CGAGGACCAGGAAGACGGACACGACGGCGGACAAAGGGAGGAUAGGGGAAUGGUGGCAAUAGCUUGGUCUCGGAAGUGGUGGGGUUCCACAAAAUCAAAUCAGAUGGGGAGUAGAGACCGUAGUGUCGAAUAGAUAAGCACAAAAUUCCGUGACAACUCCCAACGAUUGUUACAUCGGGAGGCUUAGGAUCUAAUGGGCUACCGAGACGAUAACGAUCAAUAGGAGGAGGAAAAGAAUUACGAUCAAAAGCAGCUGUUGGAGUAGUUUGUUGUAGGGUAUCAUAAGAGAUGCAAGAAAAU
This 300-nucleotide long non-coding RNA is filed under the name Linum usitatissimum (flax). RNAcentral's name for it is "long non-coding RNA (LUSI_LNC000925)". Lineage: Eukaryota; Viridiplantae; Streptophyta; Magnoliopsida; Malpighiales; Linaceae. The record is from RNAcentral.